GCCUAAUAAUGUGAGUCGAGCGGACCGACGGGAGCUUGCUCCCUUAGGUCAGCGGCGGACGGGUGAGUAACACGUGGGUAACCUGCCUGUAAGACUGGGAUAACUCCGGGAAACCGGGGCUAAUACCGGAUGCUUGAUUGAACCGCAUGGUUCAAUCAUAAAAGGUGGCUUUUAGCUACCACUUGCAGAUGGACCCGCGGCGCAUUAGCUAGUUGGUGAGGUAACGGCUCACCAAGGCGACGAUGCGUAGCCGACCUGAGAGGGUGAUCGGCCACACUGGGACUGAGACACGGCCCAGACUCCUACGGGAGGCAGCAGUAGGGAAUCUUCCGCAAUGGACGAAAGUCUGACGGAGCAACGCCGCGUGAGUGAUGAAGGUUUUCGGAUCGUAAAACUCUGUUGUUAGGGAAGAACAAGUACCGUUCGAAUAGGGCGGCACCUUGACGGUACCUAACCAGAAAGCCACGGCUAACUACGUGCCAGCAGCCGCGGUAAUACGUAGGUGGCAAGCGUUGUCCGGAAUUAUUGGGCGUAAAGCGCGCGCAGGCGGUUUCUUAAGUCUGAUGUGAAAGCCCCCGGCUCAACCGGGGAGGGUCAUUGGAAACUGGGGAACUUGAGUGCAGAAGAGGAGAGUGGAAUUCCACGUGUAGCGGUGAAAUGCGUAGAGAUGUGGAGGAACACCAGUGGCGAAGGCGACUCUCUGGUCUGUAACUGACGCUGAGGCGCGAAAGCGUGGGGAGCGAACAGGAUUAGAUACCCUGGUAGUCCACGCCGUAAACGAUGAGUGCUAAGUGUUAGAGGGUUUCCGCCCUUUAGUGCUGCAGCAAACGCAUUAAGCACUCCGCCUGGGGAGUACGGUCGCAAGACUGAAACUCAAAGGAAUUGACGGGGGCCCGCACAAGCGGUGGAGCAUGUGGUUUAAUUCGAAGCAACGC
RNAcentral lists this ribosomal RNA (935 nucleotides) under Bacillus licheniformis. RNAcentral describes it as "bacterial SSU rRNA". It matches the Rfam family "Bacterial small subunit ribosomal RNA", at positions 46 to 962 of the family's 1533-position model. Lineage: Bacteria; Bacillati; Bacillota; Bacilli; Caryophanales; Bacillaceae. The record is from RNAcentral.